AAAAUCUAUGGGCUAUUCAGAGCUCGACCGCCGACACCGGUCAUGAUCGCCUUCAUUGACGACAAUCGCGGGGCCUAUGGGGUCGAGCCGAUCUGCAAGGCGCUGCCGAUCGCCCCG
Molecule: non-coding RNA, 117 nt
Organism: Rhizobiales bacterium 65-9
Lineage: Bacteria; Pseudomonadati; Pseudomonadota; Alphaproteobacteria; Hyphomicrobiales
Source: Rfam